Molecule: ribosomal RNA, 462 nt
Filed under: uncultured bacterium
Lineage: Bacteria
Description: bacterial SSU rRNA
Rfam family: Bacterial small subunit ribosomal RNA
Source: RNAcentral
AACGAACGCUGGCGGCGUGCCUUAAGCAUGCAAGUCGAACGAAAAAUAUCUUUUGAUAUUUUUAGUGGCAAACGGGUGAGUAACACGUAGCUUAGUCACCCCAAAGUGAGGGAUAGCCAUGGGAAACCAUGGGUAAUAUCUCAUAAUACCUACGGGUUAAAGUUUAAUACGCUUUGGGAGAUGGCUGCGGUUCAUCAGGUAGUUGGUGGGGUAAUGGCCUACCAAGCCUAUGACGAAUAUCCGGCCUGAGAGGGUGAUCGGACACAUUGGAACUGAGAUACGGUCCAGACUCCUAUGGGAGGCAGCAGCUAGGAAUUUUCCGCAAUGGACGAAAGUCUGACGGAGCAACGCCGCGUGAAGGAUGAAGGCCCUAGGGUUGUAAAGCUCUUUCAACGGUGAAGAUAAUGACGGUAACCGUAGAAGAAGCCCCGGCUAACUUCGUGCCAGCAGCCGCCGUAACAC